CCUACGGGAGGCUGCAGUGGGGGAUAUUGCACAAUGGGGGAAACCCUGAUGCAGCGACGCCGCGUGGGCGAAGAAGUAUUUCGGUAUGUAAAGCCCUAUCAGCAGGGAAGAAGAAAUGACGGUACCUGAGUAAGAAGCACCGGCUAAAUAUGUGCCAGCAGCCGCGGUAAUACGGAGGGUGCAAGCGUUAUCCGGAUUUACUGGGUGUAAAGGGAGCGCAGGCGGCACGGCAAGCCUGAUGUGAAAGCCCGCGGCCCAACCGCGGGACGGCAGUGGGAACUACCGGGCUGGAGUGCCGGAGAGGUAGGGGGAAUGCGUGGUGUAGCGGUGAAAUGCGUAGAGAGCAGGAGGAACACCGGUGGCGAAGGCGGCCUGCUGGACUGCAACGGACGUUGAGGCCCGAAAGCGUGGGGAGCAAACAGGAUUAGAUACCCGGGUAGUG
RNAcentral lists this ribosomal RNA (442 nucleotides) under uncultured bacterium. RNAcentral's name for it is "partial 16S ribosomal RNA". It matches the Rfam family "Bacterial small subunit ribosomal RNA", at positions 338 to 795 of the family's 1533-position model. The record is from RNAcentral.